This 169-nucleotide non-coding RNA is filed under the name uncultured Limosilactobacillus sp. RNAcentral describes it as "Lysine riboswitch". It matches the Rfam family "Lysine riboswitch aptamer". From Rfam's summary of the family: Riboswitches are metabolite binding domains within certain messenger RNAs that serve as precision sensors for their corresponding targets. Allosteric rearrangement of mRNA structure is mediated by ligand binding, and this results in modulation of gene expression. Lineage: Bacteria; Bacillati; Bacillota; Bacilli; Lactobacillales; Lactobacillaceae. The record is from RNAcentral.
AUCGAAGAGGCGCAGCCAACACUAGUAGUUAACCUUAGUCUGCCAAGCAAUGAGGGUUAUUGAACAGGGCGGCUGCCGAAGCGUCUAACUUGGCAAAGUUAGGUAGCUGGGGCGUAGCUGAAUAAGUUGCGGACUGUCGUGGGACAAUAUCAGCCCACGUUGCGCUAUC